Molecule: long non-coding RNA, 296 nt
Filed under: Brassica rapa (field mustard)
Lineage: Eukaryota; Viridiplantae; Streptophyta; Magnoliopsida; Brassicales; Brassicaceae
Description: long non-coding RNA (BRAP_LNC008734)
Source: RNAcentral
CUCUCCAAAGCCUAGGGAUUGGCCAGUGAACUCUUGUGCCUUAGAACCAGUGAGGUUGGACACAAGAAGUUCUGGAUCACGGCCUAAACUGGUGCAGCAACUCCACAAGACUUUGCGCACUCAACAACUCAGCUUCACCUCUUCAUGGAACUGGUUUGAGGUCUCCCCCUCUCAACUGACUUCACAGCCUUCUUAGAGAAGCUAGGACACGACCAGAUCAUCUUCACAACACUAGUGAGGCUGAUCAACACUUCACACACGGCUUGCCCUCUUCAUAGAACUGGUUUGGAUAUCCC